This 301-nucleotide ribosomal RNA is filed under the name uncultured bacterium. RNAcentral's name for it is "partial 16S ribosomal RNA". It matches the Rfam family "Bacterial small subunit ribosomal RNA", at positions 509 to 808 of the family's 1533-position model. The record is from RNAcentral.
CAGUCGCCGGCGGUAAUACGUAGGGUGCAAGCGUUAAUCGGAAUUACUGGGCGUAAAGCGUGCGCAGGCGGUUAUAUAAGACAGAUGUGAAAUCCCCGGGCUCAACCUGGGAACUGCAUUUGUGACUGUAUAGCUAGAGUACGGCAGAGGGGGAUGGAAUUCCGCGUGUAGCAGUGAAAUGCGUAGAUAUGCGGAGGAACACCGAUGGCGAAGGCAAUCCCCUGGGCCUGUACUGACGCUCAUGCACGAAAGCGUGGGGAGCAAACAGGAUUAGAUACCCCUGUAGUCCCUGUCUCUUAUA